UGAUAAAUUGGAAUCAUCCAUAAAACCUUGAGCUGUCAUCUCAUUAGACCUCAGAAGCUAAGCAUUGUCCAACCUGAUUACUACUUCAGUGGGAGACCUGCAGGAAGAUGCUGGUGAUUUAAUAG
Ribosomal RNA from Chelonoidis abingdonii (Abingdon island giant tortoise), 125 nucleotides. Lineage: Eukaryota; Metazoa; Chordata; Testudines; Testudinidae. The record is from Ensembl.